GCCGAGAUGGCAGAGUGGUCAUCAGUAGAACACAAUAAUGCGCGGGCCUUGAAAGCCUGUGUCCUCCGGGACUCGUGGGUUCGAAUCCCACUCUCGGCG
This 99-nucleotide transfer RNA is filed under the name Nitrososphaerales archaeon. RNAcentral describes it as "tRNA-Ser". It matches the Rfam family "tRNA". Rfam says of the family: Transfer RNA (tRNA) molecules are approximately 80 nucleotides in length. Their secondary structure includes four short double-helical elements and three loops (D, anti-codon, and T loops). Lineage: Archaea; Thermoproteati; Nitrososphaerota; Nitrososphaeria; Nitrososphaerales. The record is from RNAcentral.